AGGACGAACGCUGGCGGCGUGCUUAACACAUGCAAGUCGAACGGUGAACCGGGCUUCGGCCCGGGGAUCAGUGGCGAACGGGUGCGUAACACGUGGGCAACCUGCCCUCAGCUUUGGGAUAACUCCCGGAAACGGGUGCUAAUACCGAAUGUAGACAUUAUGCCGCAUGGUGUUGUGUUGAAAGUUUUUCGGCUGGGGAUGGGCCUGCGGCCUAUCAGCUUGUUGGUGGGGUGAUGGCCUACCAAGGCGACGACGGGUA
RNAcentral lists this ribosomal RNA (259 nucleotides) under uncultured bacterium. RNAcentral describes it as "partial small subunit ribosomal RNA". It matches the Rfam family "Bacterial small subunit ribosomal RNA", at positions 26 to 285 of the family's 1533-position model. The record is from RNAcentral.